Molecule: long non-coding RNA, 2784 nt
Organism: Gymnogyps californianus (California condor)
Lineage: Eukaryota; Metazoa; Chordata; Aves; Accipitriformes; Cathartidae
Exons: 3
Source: RefSeq, a predicted model, not a curated record
UUUGCUGCUUUUUCAAGUCUUUUGACUGUCACAUUAGGUUAUCCGUGGUGCUAGAGUUUGAUGAGGUGGGGAAUCCCUGUCAUAACCACCUGCGAUCUUGUGGCUGUAAAGCUGUUUUGGUGGCUUUUGUCCCCAUUCUGUACUGUGUUGAAAGUUUUUCUUAAAUGAGCCUGGAAUUAACCUUCUUGCAACCACAGCAGACCACAGCAGAUGUAAGGCUAAGACAUUGUUAAGUGAAUCCUGCAGGAAAUUUUAACCUGUGAAAUCUCUUUGCCCUUGUAAAUAAUGUUUAUAUGAUUAGUUUGAAGACAGCAACAUUAGUGAAAUUUUCCAAGUUGGGAUCUUGCCAAGUUGAUUUUCCCUCACCAAAAUGAGGCAAGGCAAAGCAAGGAGAAACAGGAAAAGAUGAACAAGAUGGUCUGGUACUUGAGGAGUGGGUGGGUGGCUGCAGAAAAAUCCUGGUUGGCAGGAGCUGAGAAUCUCUGCCAGAGACAAUGCCAACCUGUGGCAGGUUGGAUCCUAGCUUGACUUCUCCUAGUGUUGUCCACUCACAGAAACAGAUUUUCCUCUGACUCUAGCGAAACUGGCCAAAGCCCAUAGACUGUAGGCACUGUUCUUGCUGUCCUUGAUGUGGUCCUUCAGUUCAGCUCUGUUCAUGUAGCAGCAUGAUUGAACCCAUACGUCUGAAUAGCUCUGUAAUAAUAAGGCAUUUGGGUUUUUUUCAAAGCAAAUGCAAAGCAUUUCACCGCGCACACAGUGGUGCUAAAUAUAAAUUGUGUAGUUUCUAGCAGUUAUUCCAUAUAUGGACUCUUCUUUUUCUCUUGUCAUCGUGGGCCGGACUAGGAGAGCUAUGUCAGAGAAACUGUAUGUGAUUGGUAUGCUUGACCUGGACAGCUGGGAUCCUUAUGUUCUUGUUCGUCUCAGCUGGCAGUGAGGUGGCAGGUGAGCACCAAGAUGAGAUGGCAGUGUGGCACAGUACCUCCUCCAUGUCUCUGCUUUUUUGUGGACCUGCCUGGGUCUCUCCCCCCAUAGCUGCUCAGCGGUAGUGGGGUUGGGGGUGAAUUCAUGACAUUCACCCUGAGCUGUCUGGUGGCAGGGGUAGAGAGAGAAGCACCCAUAAAUAUGACAAGAGGAAGAAGAGAAGGCCUAAGGGUGACAGCAACUUGUUAACAAGCAGAAGUCUGAAUAAGCUUCUGUUAUGCUGGUUGGUCUUGUUCAGCAUCUGAGAGAGAGCUGGGAGAGGGGAGCUUGUGUAUGAAUUAUGGGAUCUGUGACAAGCACAUGGAUUUUAACUUACCAGAAACGGGAGCUGAAGAAGACCUCCCUCCAGCUUGUAAUUUACGUAUUCUGAAGGCAUGGGGCUGCUCUGCUGUGCAUUACAGGCAGCAAAGCGCAUGAGAGAAGUGGGCACCAUGUGCAUGAAAUCAAGGUACUGCUGUGCGUUUUUCUACUUGGGUUACUUUGAGCAGAGGGAUUCUGCAGAUUAGAUCCUCUGUUUGCUCCUGGAUACUAUGCAGAGUCUCAUCGUCUCUGCCCCUUCAGGAUCCUCCCUGCCAUGCACUGUUACUUGAACCCUACGUUUUAGACAGAACAGCAGCAACUGGUUCAGUGGGUCCCAGAUAGCCUCAGCAUCACAUAGCAAAAGCAAAGGCUGUGGCAGGAAGCGUGAAACAAGGACCAGUGGUAUGUGUCUCACCAGAGAGGUGUCUGAGGAGCGGCAGACCUGCUGCUGGGAGGUCUGCCAGGUUCCUCUUUGUCUGCACAUCAGAGCGGGUAUCCGUACAGGUUUUCCUUUUAUCAGCCCUGUUGCUAAGCCCCCAACACAACAAAGUCCUCAUCUGUGUUUACAGGAUCUCGGAUGUUCCUUCCAUCUCUUGGCAAGGCAAAGCUGAAAAUACCCACAGAUGCUCUGAAGAAGAGAGAGCGUUCCUGUGGGCCCCUGUCACUGGAGAUCUGACAGUCCCCACGGCGGCAUCCCGGGAGCUCCAGAAAUCCUGGCCCUGAUUUUUGCAAGUGUUGGACCGUUCCUUUCCUGGAGGUGAGAGCUGGUCAGGAGAAAUUCCCCGGGUGCAACUUUCUGUGGAAACUGUGGCAAAUGGACGAUUUCAGGAGGUGGGGAGAGACAUCAGUGACCUGUGUCUGGCCUGUCUUCUUUCCUAAGACUUGACAUGAGACCUCUCUGCUCUGGUCCGUGUGGUGGGGAAGAGCCUCUCAUCUGGCAGACAUGCUGGCAGACAGCGUGGUGCGCAUCCAUUGAGGACCACGUAAACCGGCUGCAGCUGGCUGGACGUCGUGGAUCAGGCUGACGGGCUCUUUCUGGUGUGUUGGGUCCCAAGAAGCAGCGCUGCUGUGCUGUAUCGCAAACACGUGGAGUACGAGUGCUGCAGGACAGCGUGUGGGACAAGGGCCGGUGGAGCAUAGGGUUUCAUGCAGAGCAUACAGUAUUUGGCAGGCCUGCACGUUGGGGCUGCCUGGGAAAUCCUACGUAUGUCCAUGUUCCUGGUUGUCUGUAGCUGGCAGUCUGGCAGUCUGCAGGUUUAUUUCCAUUUUACAGAUCGGUGUGGGGCUGUAGACUCCCUGACAGAAGAGGGCCUUCAUCUAUGACCAGAGGUCCUGGUCACUCUUCUCCCUAUGCCAGUACAGCCUAUUUUGUCGAAAAGUCACUUGCUCUGAACAUGAUCUACAGGAGUACCCUGAUUAUGCGUGUCCAAUUCCGAAAUAAGUUGUAAAGUAGCUGUAAUUUCACAGCUUGGCUGUUAGAGAAAUAAAGUGCAUGACAGUCUC